RNAcentral lists this ribosomal RNA (228 nucleotides) under Bacillus cereus. RNAcentral describes it as "partial 16S ribosomal RNA". It matches the Rfam family "Bacterial small subunit ribosomal RNA", at positions 552 to 779 of the family's 1533-position model. The record is from RNAcentral. Lineage: Bacteria; Bacillati; Bacillota; Bacilli; Caryophanales; Bacillaceae.
UAUUGGGGCGUAAGCGCGCGCAGGUGGUUUCUUAAGUCUGAUGUGAAAGCCCACGGCUCAACCGUGGAGGGUCAUUGGAAACUGGGAGACUUGAGUGCAGAAGAGGAAAGUGGAAUUCCAUGUGUAGCGGUGAAAUGCGUACAGAUAUGGAGGAACACCAGUGGCGAAGGCGACUUUCUGGUCUGUUACUGACACUGAGGCGCGAAAGCGUGGGGAGGAAACCAGAUU